UAAUAAGAAACAAAUUAUUGUAUUUAGUUUCGACCUAAAAAAUUGGUUAUUUAAAAAAUUAACCCUUAUUUU
Molecule: transfer RNA, 72 nt
Filed under: Staphylinidae sp. BMNH 1274254
Lineage: Eukaryota; Metazoa; Arthropoda; Insecta; Coleoptera; Staphylinidae
Description: tRNA-Arg
Source: RNAcentral